Molecule: non-coding RNA, 223 nt
Organism: Cinara cedri
Lineage: Eukaryota; Metazoa; Arthropoda; Insecta; Hemiptera; Aphididae
Source: the annotation of a GenBank genome assembly
ACCUGCGUUCAGCGAAUUACAAACAAAUACAUUUAAACUCGUUUACGGACAUUUUCAUUUCAACGGGUUCAAGAAUUUCGGAUGUUGCGCUAUUUGUAAUUAUGCCUGCAAAUGAGCUUAUUACGUUUACUUUGUCUAAGCAGAUUAUAAUGAGUUGUUAUGAAUUAUAAUAAUACAUUUUGACGAAAAUCCCAUCGGAAAUUCCUAGAACCAUUAUAAAACA